GAGUUUGAUCCUGGCUCAGAACGAACGCUGGCGGCAGGCUUAACACAUGCAAGUCGAACGCCCCGCAAGGGGAGUGGCAGACGGGUGAGUAACGCGUGGGAACAUACCCUUUCCUGCGGAAUAGCUCCGGGAAACUGGAAUUAAUACCGCAUACGCCCUACGGGGGAAAGAUUUAUCGGGGAAGGAUUGGCCCGCGUUGGAUUAGCUAGUUGGUGGGGUAAAGGCCUACCAAGGCGACGAUCCAUAGCUGGUCUGAGAGGAUGAUCAGCCACAUUGGGACUGAGACACGGCCCAAACUCCUACGGGAGGCAGCAGUGGGGAAUAUUGGACAAUGGGCGCAAGCCUGAUCCAGCCAUGCCGCGUGAGUGAUGAAGGCCUUAGGGUUGUAAAGCUCUUUCACCGGAGAAGAUAAUGACGGUAUCCGG
This 425-nucleotide ribosomal RNA is filed under the name Agrobacterium tumefaciens. RNAcentral describes it as "bacterial SSU rRNA". It matches the Rfam family "Bacterial small subunit ribosomal RNA", at positions 9 to 482 of the family's 1533-position model. Lineage: Bacteria; Pseudomonadati; Pseudomonadota; Alphaproteobacteria; Hyphomicrobiales; Rhizobiaceae. The record is from RNAcentral.